Molecule: ribosomal RNA, 253 nt
Filed under: uncultured bacterium
Lineage: Bacteria
Description: partial 16S ribosomal RNA
Rfam family: Bacterial small subunit ribosomal RNA
Source: RNAcentral
UACGUAGGGUGCGAGCGUUGUCCGGAAUUAUUGGGCGUAAAGAGCUUGUAGGCGGUCUGUCGCGUCUGCUGUGAAAAUCCGAGGCUCAACCUCGGACUUGCAGUGGGUACGGGCAGACUAGAGUGUGGUAGGGGAGACUGGAAUUCCUGGUGUAGCGGUGGAAUGCGCAGAUAUCUGGAGGAAUACCGGUGGCGAAGGCGGCAUCCUGGACCGGCAUUGACGCUGAGGAGCGAAAGCCAGGGGAGCAAACGGG